Molecule: ribosomal RNA, 422 nt
Filed under: uncultured Mucilaginibacter sp.
Lineage: Bacteria; Pseudomonadati; Bacteroidota; Sphingobacteriia; Sphingobacteriales; Sphingobacteriaceae
Description: bacterial SSU rRNA
Rfam family: Bacterial small subunit ribosomal RNA
Source: RNAcentral
UAAGGAAUAUUGGUCAAUGGACGGAAGUCUGAACCAGCCAUGCCGCGUGCAGGAAGACGGCCCUACGGGUUGUAAACUGCUUUUGCAGGGGAAUAAACCUUCGUAUGUAUACGAAGCUGAAUGUACUCUGAGAAUAAGGAUCGGCUAACUCCGUGCCAGCAGCCGCGGUAAUACGGAGGAUCCAAGCGUUAUCCGGAUUUAUUGGGUUUAAAGGGUGCGUAGGCGGCUUUUUAAGUCAGGGGUGAAAGACGGUAGCUUAACUAUCGCAGUGCCCUUGAUACUGAAGAGCUUGAAUGUAGUUGAGGUAGGCGGAAUGUGACAAGUAGCGGUGAAAUGCAUAGAUAUGUCACAGAACACCAAUUGCGAAGGCAGCUUACUAAGCUAUGAUUGACGCUGAGGCACGAAAGCGUGGGGAUCAAACA